RNAcentral lists this long non-coding RNA (1015 nucleotides) under Malus domestica (apple). RNAcentral's name for it is "long non-coding RNA (MDOM_LNC008658)". Lineage: Eukaryota; Viridiplantae; Streptophyta; Magnoliopsida; Rosales; Rosaceae. The record is from RNAcentral.
AUCAUAUUUAUGCAUGCAAACUAAGUAAUGCAUCCCUAAUCAACAUACAUAAACAUGUUAUCAAUCAAAUAGAUAAGUAAAUCGAAUUCAUAACUUAUGAAACGCAAUUAAAAGUAAUCAAAUCAUAUUGCAAGCAUUAACAUGGUUUCGAAUCCCCCCUAGCCAAGGGGGGUUUAGUUCCUCAUUAUUACAAAACAAAGAUAAACAAAUUUAACCAUUGAAAAACAAAGGAAAGAAAGCACCUAAACGUUCCAACGAUCCAUGUUGGAUAGCAAGUGCGUCUAAGGACUUUUCUCCUUCUCUUUGCCGCAACAACAAGGUUGGAAUGAUGUUGAAGGGUUGGUUAUUUGGAGGAAUGGAUGGGAAGGGGUUUAGAUAUGUAGGAGAGGCAAGGAAAGGCUUGGAGAAUGGUUAAUUUCUGGAUGCAUGGUAUUUAUAGGGAGAUGAUGGACUUGUUUAAGCACAAAUUUCUGGUGGAAUUGAGUAGGUGAGCAUGGCAAAGAGUGGGAAUUGUUGGUGGGUUAGGUAUUGAGUCAUCCACUCACAUGUCAUGGUUAGCUAAGCAUUGCAUCAUCCACUCACAUGUCAUGGUGAGCUAAGCAUUGCAUCAUCCACUCACAUGUCAUGGUGAGUUAAUCAUUGCAUCAUUACUCAAAUUUCUGGUGGAGGUGGAAGUAAAAGCCACGGCAUUGAUGUGUUUUGAGUGAAGUUUUGGCCAAUCCUUCUAGAAAUUUAUCCCUUCUUGCAACUUGUAUUUGUUUCACCAGAUUUUUAGCAUGUUCUUAGCCUCUUUUGUCUUCAAAUUUGUCCAUCCAUCUUGCUCAUAUCAUAUGUAAUCCAUUCCAAGCUCAAAACUGCUCCAAAAUGCACCAAAAUGCACUUUCUUGCUACCUUAGCCCUUUGGACCUACAAACACACGAAAAUGGCUUAAAGUACUAAAAUAACUAAGAACUAAUAACGUAAAUGCAAGAAAACUAGUUAACUAAGUCGCAUAAAUAUGCGUCUAUCAUGCAUU